GAUGAACGCUGGCGGCGUGCCUAAUACAUGCGAGUCGAGCGAACAGACGAGGAGCUUGCUCCUCUGACGUUAGCGGCGGACGGGUGAGUAACACGUGGAUAACCUACCUAUAAGACUGGGAUAACUUCGGGAAACCGGAGCUAAUACCGGAUAAUAUAUUGAACCGCAUGGUUCAAUAGUGAAAGACGGUUUUGCUGACACUUAUAGAUGGAUCCGCGCCGCAUUAGCUAGUUGGUAAGGUAACGGCUUACCAAGGCGACGAUGCGUAGCCGACCUGAGAGGGUGAUCGGCCACACUGGAACUGAGACACGGUCCAGACUCCUACGGGAGGCAGCAGUAGGGAAUCUUCCGCAAUGGGCGAAAGCCUGACGGAGCAACGCCGCGUGAGUGAUGAAGGUCUUCGGAUCGUAAAACUCUGUUAUUAGGGAAGAACAAAUGUGUAAGUAACUAUGCACGUCUUGACGGUACCUAAUCAGAAAGCCACGGCUAACUACGUG
Molecule: ribosomal RNA, 497 nt
Filed under: uncultured bacterium
Lineage: Bacteria
Description: partial 16S ribosomal RNA
Rfam family: Bacterial small subunit ribosomal RNA
Source: RNAcentral